RNAcentral lists this transfer RNA (59 nucleotides) under Wadicosa fidelis. RNAcentral's name for it is "tRNA-Ile". The record is from RNAcentral. Lineage: Eukaryota; Metazoa; Arthropoda; Arachnida; Araneae; Lycosidae.
AAUUAUGUGCCUGAUUAAAGGGUUAAUUUGAUAGAUUAAAUAAUGAUAUAUUUUUAUUU